CCUACGGGUGGCAGCAGUGGGGAAUAUUGGUCAAUGGGCGCAAGCCUGACCCAGCAACGCCGCGUGAGGGAAGAAGGCUUUCCGGUUUUAAACUUCUUUUUUUGAGGACGAAACAAAUGACGGUACUCAAUGAAUAAGCCACGGCUAACUACGUGCCAGCAGCCGCGGUAAUACGUAGGUGGCAAGCGUUAUCCGGAUUUACUGGGUGUAAAGGGCGUGUAGGCGGGACUGCAAGGCAGAUGUGAAACCCAUGGUGUCAACCCAUGGCCUGCAUUUGAAACUGGAGUUCGUGAGUGAGGGAGAGGCAGGCGGAAUGCGGGGUGUAGCGGUGAAAUGCGUGGAUAUACGGAGGAACAC
This 357-nucleotide ribosomal RNA is filed under the name uncultured bacterium. Its description in RNAcentral is "partial 16S ribosomal RNA". It matches the Rfam family "Bacterial small subunit ribosomal RNA", at positions 338 to 709 of the family's 1533-position model. The record is from RNAcentral.